CCUACGAGGGGCAGCAGUGGGGGAUAUUGCACAAUGGGGGGAACCCUGAUGCAGCGACGCCGCGUGAGCGAAGAAGUACCUCGGUAUGUAAAGCUCUAUCAGCAGGGAAGAUAAUGACGGUACCUGACCAAGAAGCCCCGGCUAACUACGUGCCAGCAGCCGCGGUAAUACGUAGGGGGCAAGCGUUAUCCGGAUUUACUGGGUGUAAAGGGAGCGUAGACGGCAGCACAAGUCUGGAGUGAAAUCCCGGGGCUUAACCCCGGAACUGCUUUGGAAACUGUGCGGCUGGAGUGCAGGAGGGGUAAGCGGAAUUCCUAGUGUAGCGGUGAAAUGCGUAGAUAUUAGGAGGAACACCGGUGGCGAAGGCGGCUUACUGGACUGUAACUGACGUUGAGGCUCGAAAGCGUGGGGAGCAAACAGGAUUAGAUACCCGUGUAGUC
RNAcentral lists this ribosomal RNA (440 nucleotides) under uncultured bacterium. RNAcentral describes it as "partial 16S ribosomal RNA". It matches the Rfam family "Bacterial small subunit ribosomal RNA", at positions 338 to 795 of the family's 1533-position model. The record is from RNAcentral.